This 1497-nucleotide ribosomal RNA is filed under the name metagenome. RNAcentral's name for it is "bacterial SSU rRNA". It matches the Rfam family "Bacterial small subunit ribosomal RNA". The record is from RNAcentral.
AGAGUUUGAUCCUGGCUCAGAUUGGACGCUGGCGGCACGCUUAACACAUGCAAGUCGAACGGCAGCAGAAGAAAGCUUGCUUUCUUGCUGGCGAGUGGCGGACGGGUGAGUAAUGCGUAGGAACCUGCCCUGAAGAGGGGGACAACCCGAGGAAACUCGGGCUAAAACCGCAUAAUCUUUUCGAAGCAAAGCUGGCUACUUGUAGCUGGUGCUUUAGGAGGGGUCUACGUUGGAUUAGCUUGUUGGUGGGGUAAAGGCUCACCAAGGCUAUGAUCCAUAGCUGUUCUGAGAGGAAGAUCAGCCACACUGGGACUGAGACACGGCCCAGACUCCUACGGGAGGCAGCAGUGGGGAAUAUUGGACAAUGGGGGCAACCCUGAUCCAGCGAUGCCGCGUGUGUGAAGAAGGCCUGCGGGUUGUAAAGCACUUUUAAUGAGGAGGAAUAGUUCCAUGUUAAUAGCGUGGAGCAGUGACGUUACUCAUAGAAUAAGCACCGGCAAACUCUGUGCCAGCAGCCGCGGUAAUACAGAGGGUGCGAGCGUUAAUCGGAAUGACUGGGCGUAAAGGGCACGUAGGCGGUUGGACAAGUUAGAUGUGAAAUAUCAGGGCUUAACCUUGGUGCUGCAUCUAAAACUGUCUAACUAGAGUUCACUAGAGGGAAGCGGAAUUUCCGGUGUAGCGGUGAAAUGCGUAGAUAUCGGAAGGAACAUCAGUGGCGAAGGCGGCUUUCUGGAGUUGAACUGACGCUAAUGUGCGAAAGCGUGGGGAGCAAACGGGAUUAGAUACCCCGGUAGUCCACGCUGUAAACGAUGAGUACUAGCUGUUGGAAUGCGACGACAUUUUAGUAGCGUAGUUAACGCGAUAAGUACUCCGCCUGGGGAUUACGGCCGCAAGGCUAAAACUCAAAGGAAUUGACGGGGGCCCGCACAAGCGGUGGAACAUGUGGUUUAAUUCGAUGCAACGCGAAGAACCUUACCUACUCUUGACAUCUAUGGAACAUCUGAGAGAUCAGUUGGUGCUGGAAACAGAACCAUAAGACAGGUGCUGCAUGGCUGUCGUCAGCUCGUGUCGUGAGAUGUUGGGUUAAGUCCCGUAACGAGCGCAACCCUUGUCCUUAGUUGCCAGCACAUUAUGGUGGGGACUCUAAGGAGACUGCCGGUGAUAAGCCGGAGGAAGGUGGGGAUGACGUCAAGUCAUCAUGGCCUUUAUGAGUAGGGCUACACGCAUGUUACAAUGGACAGUACAGAGGGAGGCCAAGCCGUGAGGUGGAGCGGAACUCAGAAAACUGUUCGUAGUCCGGAUUGAAGUCUGCAAUUCGACUUCAUGAAGUUGGAAUCGCUAGUAAUCGCGAAUCAGAACGUCGCGGUGAAUACGUUCCCGGGCCUUGUACACACCGCCCGUCACACCAUGGGAGUGGGUUGCAAAAGAAGUGGGUAGCUUAACAUUGGGCGCUCACCACUUUGUGAUUCAUGACUGGGGUGAAGUCGUAACAAGGUA